UUGUCGGUAGUGAAAAUGCGGUAUUGUUUGCAUUAAACGAGGACACGGGCGAAGUACUCUGGCAAGUUGAAACUGACGGUGAAGUGAUCGCAAGUCCUGUGGUUGAUGAAGGUCUGGUUAUCAUCCAGACUGGCAGU
RNAcentral lists this transfer RNA (137 nucleotides) under Moritella sp. PE36. RNAcentral describes it as "tRNA-Val". The record is from RNAcentral. Lineage: Bacteria; Pseudomonadati; Pseudomonadota; Gammaproteobacteria; Alteromonadales; Moritellaceae.